GAUGAACGCUGGCGGCGUGCCUAAUACAUGCAAGUCGAGCGAACAGACGAGGAGUUUGCUCCUCUGACGUUUGCGGCGGACGGGUGUGUAACACGUGGAUAACCUACCUAUAAGUCUGGGAUAACCUCGGGAAACCGGAUAUAAUACCGGAUAAGAUAUUGAACCGUAUGGUUCAAUAGAGAAAGUCGGUUUUGGUGGAACUAAUAGAUGGAUCUGAGCCGCAUUAGCUAGUUGGUAAGGUCACGGCUUACCAAGGCGACGCUGCGUAUCCGACCUGAGAGGGUGAUCGGCCGCAUUGGAACUGGAACACGCUCCAGACUCCUACGGUAGGCAGCAGUAGGGUAUCGGCCGCAGUGGUCGGGAGCCUUGCGGAGCAACGCCGCGUGUGUGGUAGAAAUCUUCCGAUCGUAAAACUGUGUUAUUAGGGAAAAACAAAUUUCUAAGGAGCUAUGCACGUCUUGACGGUACCGAAUCAGAAAGCCACGGCUAACUACGUG
This 497-nucleotide ribosomal RNA is filed under the name uncultured bacterium. Its description in RNAcentral is "partial 16S ribosomal RNA". It matches the Rfam family "Bacterial small subunit ribosomal RNA", at positions 28 to 507 of the family's 1533-position model. The record is from RNAcentral.